RNAcentral lists this ribosomal RNA (464 nucleotides) under uncultured bacterium. RNAcentral's name for it is "partial 16S ribosomal RNA". It matches the Rfam family "Bacterial small subunit ribosomal RNA", at positions 339 to 795 of the family's 1533-position model. The record is from RNAcentral.
CUACGGGUGGCUGCAGUGGGGAAUAUUGCACAAUGGGCGCAAGCCUGAUGCAGCCAUGCCGCGUGUAUGAAGAAGGCCUUCGGGUUGUAAAGUACUUUCAGCGGGGAGGAAGGGAGUAAAGUUAAUACCUUUGCUCAUUGACGUUACCCGCAGAAGAAGCACCGGCUAACUCCGUGCCAGCAGCCGCGGUAAUACGGAGGGUGCAAGCGUGAAUCGGAAUUACUGGGCGUAAAGCGCACGCAGGCGGUUUGUUAAGUCAGAUGUGAAAUCCCCGGGCUCAACCUGGGAACUGCAUCUGAUACUGGCAAGCUUGAGUAUAGUAGAGGGGGGUAGAAUUCCAAGUGUAGCGGUGAAAUGCGUAGAGAUCUGGAGGAAUACCGGUGGCGAAGGCGGCCCCCUGGACGAAGACUGACGCUCAGGUGCGAAAGCGUGGGGAGCAAACAGGAUUAGAUACCCGUGUAGUC